CUGUUUCUGACUUUAUUAAUCUCAGGAGGUCUCUCUUCUUUUUGCUCUGCUGCUUCAAGCCUUUGGCAUCCAGUGCCUUGUACUUAAUGAAAGUUUGCAACACUCUGAGCAACUGUUCUCAGUUCUUCUGCCUUAUUUCUGGCCUCCGUUGCAACUGUUUUGACCUAGUGAAGGCCUAGACUUUCUCAGACAGAUUUCUUUUAACUCUUCUGCCCUGACUCCAGUCUUCACUGGGAUGCUGCCUUGCACUUAGGGAAGGUUCACAUGCCUCAAGGAUCUCUCUCUCUCAGAUUUCUUGACUUUCCCUCAGUCUUCAGUAUAGUCCUCCUCUGUGCCUGGUGAAGACCUGUGGUAAAGUGCUGGCAGAGAGGAAGCUAAAUCACGUAAAAAUUAAGAAACAGCUCAGCGUUUCACAGCUAAGCUGCCGGCUUCCCCUUGAAGGAAUAGGAGUAGACCUGCUGAACUAUCACAUGAGAGAAGAGGCCCAAAAGCUUGCACACUACAGUCAAGCUGGCCCUUAAAGAGAUGGACCUAGAAGAUGCUGAGCCAGAUGUACUCAAUUACUUCUCCAAAAUUCAUCAAUUAGGAAUACAACAUGUUUAAGACCACAGAACAUCUGCAUAGGCUGUAAAUUUCGUUGAAUGAUGGAUGCAAAGAUGGAAGACAGAUGGAUAGAGGAAAAGACAGAAUCAGAUACUGGAUGAGUUAGUACUGCUGCCUGUGCUUCAGAGCUGUCUUAUUACCACAAGGCCGGCAAGCAUCAAUGUCCCCACAUCCCCCUCUGCCUCCCCCUGAAAUGUACCGAUUUAUAUGAAAAUUAAGAUUACAAAUUAAAGCCUGGCUAUCCUGGAGUUUUCCAGUUCAUCAGCCAUCCAAUAAAAAUGAUGUCAAGCCUGUAUGCAUAAUUCCCGGAAGAUUACUUUCGUCCUUACAGCUAAGCCCUGUCCCUGAUAUGAAAGAUCUCUAUCCACUUUUAUUGAAAUAAAGAACUAACAUCAUAAUCCCAAUAUUGAGGUAUAAUCUUCAUUAUCUCCUGACCCUCUUGAGGUUCCCCCAAUCUAUAUUACUUCAGAUUUGGUUUAUGUGUAAUCCUUAUGUAUUUACUUUUAUUGAGAUAGGAUUAAAAACUAAAAAAAAAGCUUCAAAAAAUCCUUAUGAUCUCAUGAUUGAGUUUCAUUUCACCAACAAUCAACUAAUGUGUUAGACUGAGUUUUUUUUUAAGUGCUUCUUAUAGUUAUAUAGUCCAAGCUUGAAAAGGCAUUAAUUGGUCCCAUGUGUUUCCUGUUUCAUUACAUGAAUUAUUUCCAAUUCAACUUGGUUUGUGAAAUAAUGGCAUCAUCUUCUUUUCCUAUUAGAAAAGGUGUGGGAGGGGGAUGUAUGAAAAGAUAAGCAUACACAUAAAAUAAUCCAAAGUAACUUAAAUCUCUUUUCUUAGGAAGUUUUGAUUCAUACCUAUAGUUAAUUACUGGUAAACCACAAUCUACCAACCUUUUCUUUCCCCCAGAGCCUUAAUAGCCUCUGGCUAUGCCUCGGGCUGUUAACUACCAAACUAGUCAUUAAUGCUGGUCAAGAUGAUUUCUUGGAGAUUAUUGCUCAUUUAUUUUUUUAACAGACAAAACAGAAUUUGCUUUGCACAUGGACUAAAAUAAUACUUCAGCCAUUUUUUUCCUUUCAAAAACAUAAACACUGAUGAAAAUCACAUUGUACUGUGGUAUUUUCAAAGCAUUUCAUAUGUUAUUUUAGCUGUAUUUUCCAACUGAAAACUGGAUUUGCAAUGCUCAGGAUUUCCCUGGUAAUCAUCAUGUUUGCUUAUUGUUUGCUAUUAUAUUUGGUAAAACACAUCUUGAUUAAGAGAUUUGAUGUGUUCUCUAUUUACCUGUGCCUCUUAUUUUUACCUUUUGUCCAAGGAUAUGUUAGGAAGAUAUUUGUUUUUUUAGAAUUGAAAACAGGGUAUGGAAAUAGAAAUACUUCACUAUUGGCAUAAAACAGCACUGGAGUGUUUUCUUCUUAACGUAGUAUUUAUUGUUUGAAAAGAAUUCUUAUUCUAUUGGUGUUUUUUUUUUUUCUUUUUUUUUUUUUUUUUUUGAGAUGGAGUCUCGCUCUGUCGCCCAGGCUGGAAUGCAGUGGCACAAUCUCGGCUCACUGCAACCUCCAUCUCCCGGGUUCACGCCAUUCUUCUGCCUCAGCCCCUCCAGUAGCUGGGACUACAGGCGCCCGCCACCACGCCCGGCUAAUCUUUUGUAUUUUUAGUAAAGACGAGGUUUCACCGUGUUAGCCAGGGUGGUCUUGAUCUCCUGACCUCGUGAUCCGCCCACCUCAGCCUCCCAAAGUGCUGGGAUUACAGGCGUGAGCCACCGCACCCUGCCUAUUCUAUCGUUAUUGAUAUAAAAUGGGAUUCAUUAUAAUUUUUAUUGGCUCAAUUAUUCCUCAUCUGUGAACCACUCAUUUUCAUUCAUUCGUGCUUUUACUUGAGCACCUGCUAUUGCCUGGGCACAUUCAGAGACAAAUUAGAGAAUGGAGAAAAAACUGGAAAGACAAAAACAAUCUAUGAUCACUCAGUCAUCUUUCUGCCAAAAAAUAAUAUUCAAACAUAAAAACACGUAUUGGAAUGAUUAGGCUUAUUAAAAUGUUUACUCAACAACUAAAAAGGAAGUGGAUGAAACAAUAUUUUGGUACCCUUAAUAUUUUCUGGUUAUCAGUUUAUUUCUGUGAAUUUCCUUAUUUUACUCUCGCAACAACUCUACAGUUCCUUAAAGCAACCUUAUACUUACACCUAUUUUGUGGAUGUGGAAAUUAAGACUUUAGAAUUGCUGAAGAUAUAGAAGAAACAAGAAGGUACUGGAAGAAAAAUGCAGAAAAGAAAGCUUCAGGGGUUCAAAUACAACAAUGCUCGUUUACUUAGCACCUUAAUUCCCGCACUUGCUUAUAGACAGAAAAUGCCUCCUUCCUUUCUUUUGAAAGCUGUGGCUCAAGAUGGCAGGACACCCCACAGAGUCCCAGUUUAGAUCUUGAAACAGGUAGAGUAAGAAUGGUUUUGGUUAGGUAGGUUUAACCUACCAACUGGAGGUUUAUUUGAAUUACAUCUAAAUAUUAUUUAUAGGAGCAAGUCUGCCAGUUAUUAAUAAUUUAUGAAAGUUGCUUAUUACCAGCUAUAAUGUAGGUUUUAUUGACCGAUAGAUUUAACUAUGGGAAGAAGUAGCAGAAAGAGAAAAGGAAGUGAAAAGGUGAUAUGGGAGUGUGGCUUAUUUUGAAAGAAUUCUAGUUUUGGCCAGGGUGUAUAAUGUAAGCUAGAAAAUAAUAAUACUGAGCACCAGGGAUGAGUGAAGAAUUCAUUUAUGUCUUUGGCUUAGUCCAGCGCUAUUUGACUUAAGACAGUGUGUAUGGUGUCCUGGAAAGGUUUAUAAUUUAUAAAGCUUUGAAUUCUCAGGGAUAAGCCAUGAAUUACAGGGUGAUUUCAAAAGCUUUACAUUCUAAGAUAAGCCACUAUUAUGCUUUUUCCUCAUUAAAGACAGGAGCUUCUGUUUUUUAGCAAAACUGACCCAAAUGUCUUUUAAUAAGAAUUGUACUGGCAUGCAAAAAUUUAAACUAUAAAUACAGUCUGUUUUCAUUAUUCAGGGUACCCAAUUAUUAUAACAACUACUUUACAUUAUGAAAAUAAAAUUCAAGUCAGUAAUAAAAAAUACUUUUUUUCUUGAAC
RNAcentral lists this long non-coding RNA (3697 nucleotides) under Homo sapiens (human). RNAcentral's name for it is "non-protein coding LINC01088:22". The record is from RNAcentral. Lineage: Eukaryota; Metazoa; Chordata; Mammalia; Primates; Hominidae.